CUGCUUAUAAGAACUUGUGUUUGGACAAAAUGCAGCUCGAGCAGAGUGUUCUGAUAUGUUUUUUUACCCUUCUUAAAAUCCAUGGCAACA
Molecule: long non-coding RNA, 90 nt
Organism: Drosophila hydei
Lineage: Eukaryota; Metazoa; Arthropoda; Insecta; Diptera; Drosophilidae
Exons: 3
Source: RefSeq, a predicted model, not a curated record